ACAUGCAAGUCUCCCCGCCCCCGUGAGAAUGCCCCCCAGUUCCCCGCUCGGGAACAAGGAGCUGGUAUCAGGCUCAACCCCUCCGCCCAUGACACCUUGCUUAGCCACACCCUCAAGGGACUUCAGCAGUGAUAAAUAUUAAGCUAUAAGUGAAAACUUGACUUAGUUAAAGCCAAGAGGGCCGGUAAAACUCGUGCCAGCCACCGCGGUUAUACGAGCGGCCCAAGUUGAUAGUCCACGGCGUAAAGAGUGGUUAGGACAAACCCUUAAAACUAAAGCCGAACGCUCUCAGAGCUGUUAUACGCUUCCGAGAGUAAGAAGCCCUACUACGAAAGUGGCUUUACCUUUCCGACCCCACGAAAGCUGUGAAACAAACUGGGAUUAGAUACCCCACUAUGCCCAGCCCUAAACUCUGAUAGCAUCUUACACCCGCUAUCCGCCCGGGAACUACGAGCACUAGCUUAAAACCCAAAGGACUUGGCGGUGCUUUAGACCCCCCUAGAGGAGCCUGUUCUAGAACCGAUAACCCCCGUUAACCUCACCCUCUCUUGCUUUUUCCGCCUAUAUACCGCCGUCGUCAGCUUACCCUGUGAAGGACAAAUAGUAAGCAUAACUAGUAAAACCCAAAACGCCAGGUCGAGGUGUAGCACAUGAGAGGGGAAGAAAUGGGCUACAUUUCCUGCCCCAGGAAAUCACGAAUAAUGUGAUGAAACACACAUUAAAAGGAGGAUUUAGCAGUAAGUGGAGAAUAGAGAGCCCCACUGAAACCGGCCCUGAAGCGCGCACACACCGCCCGUCACUCUCCCCAAACCAAAACAUAACAAUAAAUAAUAACCCACACUG
The sequence is a non-coding RNA, 843 nucleotides long. It matches the Rfam family "Bacterial small subunit ribosomal RNA".